UUGAUUCCAAAAUGAUGGGGACCUUUCAGU
Molecule: non-coding RNA, 30 nt
Filed under: Mus musculus (house mouse)
Lineage: Eukaryota; Metazoa; Chordata; Mammalia; Rodentia; Muridae
Source: RNAcentral